CCUACGGGAGGCAGCAGUGGGGAAUAUUGGACAAUGGGCGAAAGCCUGAUCCAGCCAUGCCGCGUGUGUGAAGAAGGCCUUCGGGUUGUAAAGCACUUUCAGUGGGGAAGAAAGCCUUGGGGCUAAUACCCUCGAGGAAGGACAUCACCCACAGAAGAAGCACCGGCUAACUCCGUGCCAGCAGCCGCGGUAAUACGGAGGGUGCGAGCGUUAAUCGGAAUUACUGGGCGUAAAGCGCGCGUAGGCGGUCUGAUAAGCCGGUUGUGAAAGCCCCGGGCUCAGCCUGGGAACGGCAUCCGGAACUGUCAGGCUAGAGUGCAGGAGAGGAAGGUAGAAUUCCCGGUGUAGCGGUGAAAUGCGUAGAGAUCGGGAGGAAUACCAGUGGCGAAGGCGGCCUUCUGGACUGACACUGACGCUGAGGUGCGAAAGCGUGGGUAGCAAACAGGAUUAGAUACCCCUGUAGUC
This 465-nucleotide ribosomal RNA is filed under the name Vreelandella stevensii. RNAcentral describes it as "partial 16S ribosomal RNA". It matches the Rfam family "Bacterial small subunit ribosomal RNA", at positions 338 to 795 of the family's 1533-position model. Lineage: Bacteria; Pseudomonadati; Pseudomonadota; Gammaproteobacteria; Oceanospirillales; Halomonadaceae. The record is from RNAcentral.